CCAAUAGCGUAUAUUAAAGUUGUUGCAGUUAAAAAGCUCGUAGUUGAAUUUCGGGGUUCUUCCGUUGGUCAGGCUAACAAGUCUGUACUAGCGUGUAGAAUCUCUACCUUCUGGGGAACCAUCAUGUUAUUAAUUUAGCGUGGUGGGAAACCAGGACCUUUACCUUGAAAAAAUUAGAGUGUUCAAAGCAGGCUUACGUCUGAAUACAUUAGCAUGGAAUAAUAAAAUAGGACGGUGGUCCUGUUUUGUUGGUUUCUGAAUCACCGUAAUGAUUAAUAGGGAUAGUUGGGGGCAUUAGUAUUAAAUUGUCAGAGGUGAAAUUCUUGGAUUUAUUGAAGACUAACUUCUGCGAAAGCAUUUGCCAAGGAUGUUUUCAUUAAUCAAGAACGAAAGUUAGGGGAUCGAAGACGAUCAGAUACCGUCGUAGUCUUAACCAUAAACUAUGCCGACUAGGGAUCGGACGAUGUUAAAUUUUAUUGACUCGUUCGGCGCCUUACG
Molecule: unclassified non-coding RNA, 498 nt
Filed under: uncultured Scutellospora
Lineage: Eukaryota; Fungi; Glomeromycota; Glomeromycetes; Diversisporales; Gigasporaceae
Description: SSU rRNA
Rfam family: Eukaryotic small subunit ribosomal RNA
Source: RNAcentral